GCCCAACAGGAAGCUGCCUGCAAUUUCAGGUAGCUUUUCUGACUCUUAAAGAGAUCUCAAGUAUACUUUCAGAGAAAUGCCAGCAAAAACUGUAGUCAUUCGGGAAGGAGUAAGUCUGGAAGAAAAAGAUACAGUGAACUAGCACAACGAGGAGUUUGAAAAGUUCAUGACAGCUCACAGCUCACGAUGGUGGCGAUCUUAAGGAUACAGAAAGCUCAUUCCUCAUGCAGGGAAGAAGAAAAUAUUCUAAAGAAGAGAUAAGCAUAUUCCGCAAAAUCAAAAAAGAGAUAGCUUUCCUCUGACUGGUACCUCAAACCACCACCCGCCCAAGCCAGUCAUCUGGGCCAUUUCUCCUGCUUGCAUGGGCUCACAGUUCUCUAUGCAUUCUUCUACCAUAGAACUUACCACAAAGGCUAGAAGCUCAGCAACUGCUAACAACCAGCUGGAGGGGUACAUCAAAAGCUAUGAGAGCCCAGAAGGAGAACAAUUAUUUAGAACUGGAGGGGCCAGUUGGGAAAGUCUUUGAAGGGUCUUCAGAAAAUGGCCCAAAAGAAAAGAGGAAAAGUCAUUCUACUGAGAGGUGUUUGUGUAACCAAAGCAACCGAGGUCUAAGAACUCACACAAGAUUUGAAAAGGGUGAAGGAUGCCUGGAAAGCUGGACUAGGAAAAGGUUGUGAAGGGCCCUGAAUGUUACUUGUCACAUGUUGCCUACAGCAUGCAGAAUCAAAACAUGAUAAAUCAUAUCUUGAAUCAUGACAUAUGAAGCAUGACACAUGAAUCAUGACGUGUGACACGUUGAAUGUCACAUGUCACAUGCCAGAGGCAGCCAUCAAGAGUAUUUGAAAGGGAAGUGUAUAAUCAUGCCUGUUCUUUAGUAAGACAAUUCGUAUAGUGUUCAGUGUGGAUUAAAAUGGAGAACACAGGUAUCAGUUUGACAUCGACAGCACAGGAAACCAUUUGGGUUUCUUGUACACCAAAAUAUUAAAACAUAUGUGCAAACACACCAACACAUUAAAAUCUUGAGAGAGAAGGGCCAAAAGUUCUUUGUCACUGGACUAAAAGUGGAAAUAAAUGUUUACAACCUCUAAGGUGGAUUAAGCUAAGAAUUUGGAGUUGUUGGCAAAACUGCCACAUAAAAUUUCAGAUAUGCAAAGAAAUGCAAUUGUAGACUUAUGCACAUACUUCCACCAGAGAAGGGAAUCUGGGCAGAGUGGGUGAAGCAAAAAACAUGUUCAAAGGUUAAGAAAUGCCUUGCUCUUACCAAGAAGAGCUAACAGCAUUUUCUUUGAAUCAGCUCUCAUAUUCCCUUAAAAAGAAAUUGAUAGUGUUGUAGAAAACUCACCUAUUGAAGAGAAAACAAAAUCAGCAACCCAGUAUGAGUUAACUGGUAUUAUGUUAAAGGGACAAGUAACUGUACUUUUGACAUACACCCUCUAAAAGGUAGGGUGGCAGUGUUUCAAAGAAUCAAGUCUGAGUAAUAGAAAAGCAUAUACCACUUCCCCAUAUACACGUUUGAGCAUGGGGGACCGGGAGGCUGGGUAAUUGAAUGCAGUUGUGCACAUUGGCCAUUCUCCCAUCAUGUACCAUUUCUUCGAUGUCUCUACCAAAAUUCUCCUUCUAAGUGACACAUCCCUUUAUUGAUCAUCUUUCCCCAUGCUGAUCAUCCUCAGGAAUCAUGUGAGUUAUUAGUCUAAGUAUUUGUUUUUCUCAAAUAUGGUCUUUUAACUGCUCCUUAAAUAUAUUAUGUAUACAUAGUUUGUUUUCCCAAUGUAACUACAAGCAUUUAAAAAAUGGGAAUAUUUGUCUAUAUUUCUGUAAUUUUUCAUCAUGCCUUGUGUGGUAUAUAAAAAUCAACAGCAAUAAAACAACAGUAAUAAUAGCAAGACAUUUUGAAUGCUAACUGUAUGUUCAGCACUAUUUCAAUAGCUUUACAGGUAUUUACUGAUUUAAUUAUUACAACCACUGCAUGAAGUAGAUACUAUUGUUGUCAUCAGUUUGUACUUGAGGAAACUGAGUCAUGGGAAGUUUAAUUAUCUUUUCCAUAGUCACAAAGCCAUUAAGUGUAUGAUCUCAGACAGUCUGACACCUGAGCUGUGCUUCAAUGUACCUGUUAAGAUAUUCUUUUUCUUGAAUUCAAAUUCUGAAAGGAAAACAGAGUUGAAAAUCCAAGGCCCUAGCUAAUCAAGUAAAGUUUUGCUUUAAAAACAUCAAGAAGCAAUCUUCCUAAGGUCUCUGCAUGAUUUCGUGGCCCAUCACAGAACACGGUCAUCUUUGACUUCUACACCAAGGAAAAUGUGGCUUAUGGAUUCUUGGAUAGAACCUACUGCAUGGCCUCUAUCUUCAUACGCCCUUGCUGGGAUUUGAAGAUAAUAUGAAUAAAGUAGAUUUAGUGGAAGUGAGGAGAAGGAACAUUCUGAACAAAAAACACUUGUUCCACUUGGCCAGCUACCUAUAUUCUCAUCAAGGGAGAGUUGGCCACAGUUAAUACCACAUCAAAGUGCAAACUCUGUACCAGCUUGCACCUUUACUUAUUCCUACCUUUAACACACACAUCGCAUAACAUGUAUAAUUCUUAUUCUGGGUAUAGUUGGUGGUAGGAAGGUUUUCACACAUUUGAGAUUCUAUUUGGUGAGUAUAUAGUAACAACACAAGAAAUGUGCCAUCAGACUACUGUUCAGCAGUUUGCAAAGAUGGCUACAACAAUUCUUGUGAUUCUUAUGCACAUGUUUUUGCUAUGGAACUUUGUCACCCUUUCCCAUCAAGAUACACAGUCUAUUUCUUUUUCCAUUUAAUUUGGCCCUGUGACUUGCCUAAAACCAACAGAAGGCUGCAGAAGGGACAUCAUAUGACUUCAGAGUCUCAGCAGCAAAAGGCCUUUCAGCUUCUGCUUUCAGGCUGUCAUUGCUGCGAGAUAGGAAGCCUGGGCUAGCCUCUAUGAGAAUGAGAGACCACACCUGGUCAACAAGGAGAGCCAACCUGCAGCCAUGUGAGUGAGACCAUCCAGCCUCAGUUAAGCUGCCAGAUGACUGCAGCCAGAUAAGUGGCUACAGGCAAGACCAGUAAAAGAACAAACUGCCUGAGCCCAGCCCAAAUUGCUAAG
Non-coding RNA from Macaca mulatta (Rhesus monkey), 3100 nucleotides. Lineage: Eukaryota; Metazoa; Chordata; Mammalia; Primates; Cercopithecidae. The record is from RefSeq and is a predicted model, not a curated record.